RNAcentral lists this long non-coding RNA (6550 nucleotides) under Homo sapiens (human). RNAcentral describes it as "non-protein coding lnc-PATJ-2:1". The record is from RNAcentral. Lineage: Eukaryota; Metazoa; Chordata; Mammalia; Primates; Hominidae.
UAUUUUGACAUGCAAGAGGAGCAGGCAUUCCAGGUAUUUGAAUACUGAGAGAUUCAAAUUAUCAGCAAGGUUCUUUCCAGUUCCACGUUUGUUGUGUUAUCAGUGUAAAAUUAUUUGAAUAGCUUUCCACUGAUGAGUUAUUAGCUGAAAAGUGUUUAUUGUCAUGGUUGAAAGAAAAUAAUAAUGAAAGAAGAAACGAUUACCUUUAGUGAUAAAGUUGGGGCCGGAUGGGACGAAGCAGUGCAAUUUUUUUCUUUAUAAUUAUUCCCCUAUUUGAAAAAUCAACUUGUAUAUGAGGCAGCAAACACCUUGCAGAGCAGCAUUCCCUUUUAGUUUCAGGACGUGGUGGUGGAUGGAACCACUGUAACCUGGCCUCCCUCCAUGAGAGGAGGGAAUCCAGGUGGCCAUGUUGAAAUGUGCCUGUGUGCAGCAAGGCUUCUGAAAUGACAAGAGAGCCCAGCAGCUUCCAAAGCAGCUGUGACUCUGGAUCUCACCCAUCAUCUCUGCUUCUCACUGUUAGAGGAGUGAAUCUGUGCUGCCUUAGGAGGCAUGGAACCUGGGACUUUUCUUCCUUGUUUAAUGUUUAAUUUUAUUAAAAUAAUUUGUAAGUGAUAGAUGUUGAUCUCGUGACAAAAGAGAGAUUCCCUCUUUAUAAAACUAUUCUAACUAAAGAUCUUUUGUAAGCCCAUGUGUUAGAAAUAAAACUUGAAUAUCCCCUUUUUUGUUGUUGUUUAUGAAUGGCCAAUAAUUUAUUCACAUGUGACAUUUGAGCUGGCAUUUUUUCCUCCUGAGAUGACAGUAGCGUCCGCUGUGUUGUAUUCUAAAGCAAAGUCAGAAUAGCCCUUUGCUUUUGUCCCGAUUAGUAGUUCUGUUUUGCCUUCUUGCCUUUUCCAUUUAGACCUUAUGGUAUUUCCUAAACCUUAGACUGUUUUGAAAGGCUUUGAUUAAAAUAUGCUGAUAAAAGAAUUCGAUAACCAAGUUAGGAACGACAAGGCUAUCUGGAGAAGACCAAAUGACUUGGCAGCCUAACAAAUUCUAUUCAGAGCACACAAAGAGAUCCUGGAACGUUUUAUAGGGACUCGUGUGUGGGGAAUGGUAUGAACUCAGGUUACCUGCAAAAUAUGGUGUCAUAUGGAAACAUUUAAGAGCUUAUGGAAAAUUCUUUGAAAUAAAGUGGAAUGAGCUAGCAAGCAUAUUAUACCUAAGAAGAAAAACAAGAGCAUUCAUUCUGGUUUUUUAAGGUAGCUGCUCAAGGAAGGGAGAUAGAUGAAAGUAAAUUGUUUUCUACUUUGUACACAUAAUAUAGAAGAGAUCACCUAAGCCUAGUUUUGCUAACCAGACCCUAGACUUAAAAUUAGAGGUCAUGAUGUCUAGCCACCUUCCUCUGUAGGAACCUCUCGUGAUACCCUGAAAGCCUCUGCUUAAAUACUUCCAGAGAAAAGUGAGGAAGGUAGGGGUGGGGAUGAAGGUUUGCAGGAACUCGUGUUGAGUACCUAGUAUCUGCAAGAUACUAGAGUAGGUACUUUAUCGCCAUCUCAUCUGACUUAUGUAUGAGUGCAGGUUUUAUAACCCUCAAGUUUACAAGUGAGGAAACUAAGUUUAUAUAAGUGUCACGAAACUUGCUUCAGUUCAGAUGUCUAGCUUGAGGCAAAUCUGAAAUUAGAACCUAGGUCCAUCUUCUUGCAUUACACUAAACUGCCUCUCAGGAUGAGGGAGAGCUCCCUUCAUGGCUAAGGCAACCUCUUCUGUCUAAUAAUGCAGAUUCUUUAAAAAUUCUUUCUUUUAUUUAACUGAAAUCUGCCUCCCAUUAACAUCUCUCAUUGGUCCUGAUUCGGCCUCAGGAGGAUCACAGAGCUGAUGCAAUUCUCUUUCCUUAUGCAGGUAUGUUUGCAACCACUGCUGCCAAAAUGGCCUCUGCCAUCUUUUACCUAGUUGGUUUUUUUUGAAAAUGAACACACACACACACACACACACACACACACACACACACUCACAGAAAUAUCCUCUUAUUGACUGCAAUCCAUCUUUCAACAUAUGGAGUUCUUUUUGAAUACUAGAGGUAUAGCCUUAAAGAAUAUGAGUAUCAGAAGAUACUUUAGUUUCAUCUUUCCCUGCCUGAUUCAUCAGCCAAUUGUUAGUAUGCCAUCAGUCAAGCCAUUAAUAAAAAUAAUGAACAAGGUGAACAGGAUAGGUUAACUUGUAGUCUAUGUAUAAGUUUCUGAAGUUGCAUGCAGAAUUUAGCCUAUAUGUGAAUUUUUCUGGAAAAAUGGUCAGUAACUAUUGUCAGAUUCCUUUUUUUUUUUUUUUUUUUUUUUUGAAGACAAAGUCACUGCACUCCAGCCUGGGUGACAGGGCAAGAUUCCAUAUUAAAAAAAAAAAAAGUAUUGAGAAGUACUCAGAGUAGAGAACUUACUCCCGAAUGAAUAUACUAACCUCUUUGAGGAGAGCUCCCCAAAUGACCAUAAAUUCAUAUAGCUCAGCCAUCACUAGACCGUGUAUUUCAGCCAGAAGAUAUGGUGAAUGGUCUUGUAAGAUGCCUGACUAAAUUAAAGUAUUAAAGUAUUUCUUGAAUUCUCUUGAUAUUCCUGGACUUUGAGAAAGAAUAAUUAUGCCCUUAAAAAUGGAAAAAGAGACUGCAAUAUUGUUAUACAGGCCUUUUAAAAAAAAAGUAUCCUUAAAUUUUUAGUUACAGAGUUCACUUUUUUCCCCUACUUUUCUUUGUUUUAGAUUAUAAGCCCAGGAUUGUUCACCAGAAGGUUACCCUUUAGUCUGCAGGAACCUUUGAAAACAGAUGUGGUAUUGAAGAAUAUCUCUGUAAGCCCAGAACUUAUCCAUUGUAUAAAGAAUUUUAUUUUCCCCAGUAGACCGGGAGCUCCUCAAGGGCAGGGACCUUUGCAAGUCUUUGACUCCCUAGCACUGAACCCAGCAUCUGGCAAAUCUUAUUUCAUGUGACUUUAUUUUGGCUGAAUGGCCUAAAAAUGCGCUUGUACUGAGCACCUAAUACAUUUAAUUUAAUUUUUAAAUUUUUAUUCAAUAAUGUAGACGUGGAGUCCCCCUAUGUUGCCCACGCUGGCUCAAACUCCUGGCCUCAAGGAUGUUCCUGCCUCAGUCUCCCAAAGUGCUGGGAUUACAGGCAUGAGCCACUGCACCAAGCCCUAAUACAUUUAAUAAAUUGUAAGGAGGAAGAACAGUGGACCGCAGUGAGAUAUGGUCUACAGGGAAAAUGAAGAACCUCUUCAAAAAUGAUGAUCUUCAGGCCUGUAAUCCCAGAACUUUGGGAGCCGAGGCGGGUGGAUCACUUGAGCCCAGGAGUUCAAGACCAGCCUAGGAAACAUAGCGAAACCACAUCUCUACCGAAAAAUACAAAAAUUAGCCAUGCUUGUAGUCCUAGCUAUUAAUACGUGGGAGGCUGAGGUGGGAAGAUGGUUUGAGUCCGGGAGGUGGAGGUUACAGUGAGCCACUGUACCCCAACCUGGGUGACAGAGUGAGACCCCAUCUCAAAACCAAAAAAGAUGACCUUUAUUAUGUUUGACAUUUAAAAAAAUGUAGCCAAAGUAAAAGUGUUGAUUAGCAUAACCCCGAUCACAUGUUGUUGUUGAAAAUGAGCACUGGCUUGCAUAAAAUGGACAUUCAUGGACAUGAAAUGGACAUUAAUGAUUUUACAUAUGUUAAGAAGAGAAUUUUAGACUUGAGACCUUAGGGAGAUCUGUUGAUAGAAUUCCCUAUGCUCUACAGAUAAGGAUACUUAGUGAAGGGACUUUCCUAAGCUCACAGACCCAGAAGAGUAGUACUCUUUCCAGCCAAUGGUGAUGCUUACUUAUGUUUUUUUUUUUUUUUUUUUUUUUUUGAGACGGAGUCUUGCUCUGUCGCCCAGGCUGGAGUGCAGUGACACGAUCUCGGCUCACUGCAAGCUCCGCCUCCCAGAUUCACGCCAUUCUCCUGCCUCAGCCUCCUGAGUAGCUGGGACUACAGACGCCCACCACCACGCCCGGCUAAUUUUUUGUAUUUUUAGUAGAGACGGGGUUUCACCGUGUUAGCCAGGAUGGUCUUGAUCUCCUGACCUCGUGAUCCGUUCGCCUCGGCCUCCCAGAGUGCUGGGAUUACAGGUGUGAGCCACCGCGCCCGGCCUACUUAUGUGUUUUAGAAAAAUCUUUAAAAUGUUAAAAGAUGACAGGUAAUUUCUAGACCAUAUGAAGUAGCCCAGUUGUCCCAGGAUUAGUUUAUUAUGUGUAUAUCAGCCAUUAUUUUACAGAGUCAUCUCACAUAAAUCCACACAACCUUAAAGGAUUAAAGGAUGGUUUCUGUGCAACUGAAACAUAUGCACAGAAUGACAAUAGUCGUGAUACUUUCUUUAUUCUUUUUUUUUUUUUUUUUGAGAUGGAGUCUCACUCUGUCGCCCUGGCUGGAGUGCAGUGGUGUGAUCUCGGCUCACUGCAGCCUCCAUCUCCCAGAUUCAAGCGAUUCUCAUGCCUCAGCCUCCCGAGUAGCUGGGAUUAUAGGUGCACGCCACCCGCCUGGGUAAUUUUUGUAUUUUUAGUAGAGAUGGGGUUUCAGCAUGUUGGCCAGGCUGAUCUUGGAACUCCUGACCUCAAGUGAUCCGCCCACCUCAGCCUCCCAAAGUGCUGAGAUUACAGGUGUGAGCCACCACGCCUGGCCAGUCAUGCUACUUUAUAAUCUGAAGUUACCAGUUCUUUGCAGUGUUUCACAUUAGGGGCAUUCUCCAAAGGGAACUUUAGAGAUAACAAAUAUGUUAAAAAUAUCGAAUAAAGUUAGAGAUGUGGGGAGACAUUCCUACUCCUACAGAGAGCAACCAUACCUUCCUAUAGACUGUGCACUGAAGAAAGGGCGGAGGGGAUGCGCCUGUUAGAGUUAGAAUCUUGGCUUGAUAGGCAAGGAAAUUGACCCGGUGUGGUGGUUCUUAUAUUGGUAAGAAGACCCUUCUUUGGUUUCUUUUUUUCCAGAUAGCUAAAGUCAAUGUCAGUGAUUGCUUCAAGCAUGAUAGUCUUACCAGCCUACACUCUAAGCUUUUCUUAUGCUUCCAGAAUGACUUACUCAGCAAUCACUUCUACUUUGUAUUAAAACAGUUUUGGUUAUUCAGGUAGGAAGAAGAGAAAAAAACCAGGCUGUUUCCAGUUGUCUGGGGUUUACAUUAUGUUACCUCUCAGACUGUUAGUGAAAUCAGGGAGACUAGUGGUUUUUACGGCAUCAGAGAUACCAAAUGUACAACAGACAGAUGUCAUCUUACUCUUUUUAAGUCAUGGACAAAAAGACAGACACAUUGCCCUGUAACUUUCAGAUCUUCUGUAACCUUUUUAAACAACAUAGGAGAGAAGUUGGUACUUGUACCCAAGGGAAGAGAAAGUUAAUGAGUAGAAAAGACAGAAUUUAUUUAGGAAAACGAUGGAAUUAAGCUCUGGACAAAACAUGCAUCAGUGAUGCAUAACAUUUUUGUUAAUUGGGUCUUAACAGGUUUCUGACUCAUAUGGUAAUCAUUGUAGAAGUGGGUCUUACUAGACCACGCCAGUGGCAAAUUGCGAAGCUGUAAGAACUCUUACCUCCCUGUGUGUGUGCACCUGAGUGUGUGGGGGGGCGUACGUUUCUGUAGCUUAAUUUAGGUUCCACAUACACUUCAGUGGUUAAACCUGAGCUAGACUCAAAUAGUUUGUUUCCAUUAAGAAAAUGAAUCUUUUAUGUGGACCAAGGUCAGGUUAGUUAAUUUGUUUGCUUUUAUUGGAAUAACUUUUCCCAUUCCAAUUCAUCACUUAAUUUUAAGUGGUUCUACUAAAAUACCCAUUAAAGUCCUUUACAUUUCUCACAGACUAGGGCUAUGACAGAUUCAUAAGACGUUUCUUUUUUCCUCAAGGCACAAAAGGUAGCUUUUCUGGUCAUCAAUCUAGUCUUCCUUGUUCCUAAUUUCACAACAGUGGGGCAACAUUUUAUAUAAUACCAAUAUGAACUCUAAUUGCAAAGAGACUAAAUGAAAUCUUCACACGAAGCAAGAUUAAUUAAAAUAUAAAAUGUGCUUGACUGUGGUAAAACAUUUCUUUUAAAAAAAAUAGUAUGACUUUUUUUUUUUUUUUUGCUAAAUCUUUCUUUUUUGUACACCUCACCCUCUUCUUCACUGAUGCAUUUUCCAGCAACUGGAAGUUCACUCUGGCUAGGAAAGUAACUAAAUGUGAUGUUAUCAUUCUAAUUAGUGAUUACAAAAGAUCAAUUAAUGUUAUAAUUAAAAACAGUGUCUAGAUCUGUUGUUUGUAGUGAAUAAAUGUGACAAUUACUUUGUUCAUUGACAUAGAUGUGUUGAAUUUCCUCCCUAGAUUUUAAGGGGAUGCAUUUUAGUGCUGAUGUGUGCAUUUAACUGUGGACAGUAGGAACAAGGCAAGCAUAUUAGGGGAAGAGUAGGGCCCCUAAUGUCUAAGCUACAGACAUAUUUUAGCAUGCUUGACACCUUUCCUUGGUAUAUGAUGCUAUAUCAGCAACUUGUACUCAUUGGAUCUGGAGCCUCUAGCUUUUAAUAUUUUAUCACUAAAUGCUUAAGUGUUUAUGUUGC